This 918-nucleotide ribosomal RNA is filed under the name uncultured bacterium. RNAcentral's name for it is "bacterial SSU rRNA". It matches the Rfam family "Bacterial small subunit ribosomal RNA", at positions 583 to 1500 of the family's 1533-position model. The record is from RNAcentral.
GUAAGUCAGAUGUGAAAUCCCGGGGCUCAACCCCGGAACUGCAUCCGAUACUGCCAUGCUAGAGGAUUGGAGAGGUAGCUGGAAUUCUUGGUGUAGCAGUGAAAUGCGUAGAGAUCAAGAGGAACACUCGUGGCGAAAGCGAGCUACUGGACAAUUCCUGACGCUGAGGCUCGAAGGCUAGGGUAGCGAAAGGGAUUAGAUACCCCUGUAGUCCUAGCAGUAAACGGUGCACGCUUGGUGUGAGGGGAAUCGACCCCCCUUGUGCCGGAGCUAACGCGUUAAGCGUGCCGCCUGGGAAGUACGGUCGCAAGACUAAAACUCAAAGAAAUUGACGGGGACCCGCACAAGCGGUGGAGUAUGUGGCUUAAUUCGAUGCAACGCGAAGAACCUUACCAAGGCUUGACAUGCAUCUCUAAACACGUGAAAGCGUGUGACCCUUCGGGGAAUUUGCACAGGUGCUGCAUGGCCGUCGUCAGCUCGUGUCGUGAGAUGUUGGGUUAAGUCCCGCAACGAGCGCAACCCUUGUGAUUAGUUGCCAGCACGUUAAGGUGGGAACUCUAGUCAGACUGCCCAGAUCAACUGGGAGGAAGGUGGGGACGACGUCAGGUCAGUAUGGCCCUUACGCCUUGGGCUGCACACGUACUACAAUGCCCAGCACAAUGAGAACCGAUACCGCGAGGUGGAGGAAAUCUGUAAAACUGGGCUCAGUUCGGAUUGGAGGCUGCAACUCGCCUCCAUGAAGUUGGAAUCGCUAGUAAUGGGGCAUCAUCUACGGCCCCGUGAAUACGUUCCCGGGUCUUGUACACACCGCCCGUCACAUCAUGGAAGCCGGUCGCACCCGAAGUGCUCGUACCAACCGCAAGGGGGUAGAGUCCUAAGGUGUAGCUGGUAACUGGGAUGAAGUCGUAACAAGGUAGC